AAAAAAUUCAACUAAAAUUCCUCACAUACAUAAAUAUGCAAAAUUAUAUACAGUGUCCACCGACAAAGUCAUUAUGGAUGUGACAUGAAAAUAAUUUGUUGAAAUAUUAUGUGUGGGGAGUGUGUUGGAUUCAAUUAUGAGUAAGUGGCGUAAGUGCCAGCUAUAUCACUUCCUGGCUAUUGUUAUAAAAUUAAUGUUAC
Molecule: long non-coding RNA, 200 nt
Filed under: Vigna radiata
Lineage: Eukaryota; Viridiplantae; Streptophyta; Magnoliopsida; Fabales; Fabaceae
Description: long non-coding RNA (VRAD_LNC012961)
Source: RNAcentral